UACUUGGUUGAUCCUGCCAAGGAAGCACACUUAGGUCAUAGAUUAAGCCAUGCAAGUGUUAGUUCAGGUAACGAAACUGCGAAUAGCUCAUUAAUACGCUCAGAAUCUAUUUGGCGGCGACCAACAGGUCUUAAAUGGAUAGCAGCAGCAACUCUGGUGCUAAUACAUGCGAUUGUUUCUCCAGAUGUGAAUUAUGGAGGAAAAGUUGACCUCAUCAGAGGCACGCCAUUCGACUGAGUGACCUAUCAGCUUGUACUUAGGGUCUUUACCUAGGUAGGCUAUCACGGGUAACGGGCGGUUACCGUCGGACUGCCGGAGAAGGCGCCUGAGAGAUAGCGACUAUAUCCACGGGUAGCAGCAGGCGCGAAACUUUCCCACUCGAGACUUUCGGAGGAGGUAAUGACCAGUUCCAUUGGUG
This is a non-coding RNA of Trichomonas vaginalis G3, 418 nucleotides long. The record is from Rfam. NCBI's taxonomy places the organism in Eukaryota, Parabasalia, Trichomonadida, Trichomonadidae.